Molecule: unclassified non-coding RNA, 401 nt
Filed under: Hevea brasiliensis (rubber tree)
Lineage: Eukaryota; Viridiplantae; Streptophyta; Magnoliopsida; Malpighiales; Euphorbiaceae
Source: RNAcentral
CAGAUUCUGUGUUCUCAAAUUCAAUCAAACGCUUUGUCAGUGUUGCUUCGCAAAUGUGCACCACUUUGAUAAUUUCUGAUUUAGAACAACUCAGUCCAUGUGAAAGAGAAGCAAUGUAUAGUGCAGCUCCACAUAAUCCACUUGGCUUUCUCCCUGUCUGCAUCCAAUCUCGCUUCAUGCUAGCCAAAAUGUGAAGAGCAGAUCUAGAAAUGUUUGGCUUCCUUCCCCCAAAUAAACGAUCAGUGAAUCGAUGAAUGAACAGGCUAGGAUCCACAGGUUUUUGAACAAUUGGGUGGUCUUCAAGGUGUAGGAUCUUGCAAAGCUGUAAGAAUACAGCUCCUAAUACGUACACAUUUAUCCUCAAGUACUCGGAAAAGUCAAUGAGUAGGAAUGGCUUUUUG